GGGAAGGUGGCUCAGUGGUAGAGUGCUUGCCUAGCAUGCAUGAAGCCCUGGGUUUGCUUUCUCA
Molecule: non-coding RNA, 64 nt
Organism: Dipodomys ordii (Ord's kangaroo rat)
Lineage: Eukaryota; Metazoa; Chordata; Mammalia; Rodentia; Heteromyidae
Source: Rfam